RNAcentral lists this ribosomal RNA (253 nucleotides) under uncultured bacterium. RNAcentral's name for it is "partial 16S ribosomal RNA". It matches the Rfam family "Bacterial small subunit ribosomal RNA", at positions 524 to 776 of the family's 1533-position model. The record is from RNAcentral.
UACGUAGGGGGCAAGCGUUGACCGGAUUUAUUGGGCGUAAAGAGCGUGUAGGCGGCCAGGUAGGUCCGUUGUGAAAACUCGAGGCUCAACCUCGAGACGCCGAUGGAAACCAUCUGGCUAGAGUCCGGAAGAGGAGAGUGGAAUUCCCGGUGUAGCGGUGAAAUGCGCAGAUAUCGGGAAGAACACCCGUGGCUAAGGCGGCUCUCUAGUACGGUACUGACGCUGAGACGCGAAAGCGUGGGGAGCGAACAGG